GAUGAACGCUGGCGGCGUGCCUAAUACAUGCCAGUCGAGCGAACGGACGAGAAGCUUGCUCCUCUGAUGUUAGCGGCGGACGGGUGAGUAACACGUGGAUAACCUACCUAUAAGAAUGGGAUAACUUCGGGAAACCGGAGCUAAUACCGGAUGAUAUUUUGAACUGCAUGGUUCAAAAGUGAAAGACGCUCUUGCUGUCACUUAUAGAUGGCUCCGCGCUCCAUUAGCUAGUUGGUAAGGUAACGGCUUACCAAGGCAACGAUGCAUACCCGACCCGAACGGGUGAUCGGCCACACUGGAACUGAGACACGGUCCAGACUCCUACGGGAGGCAGCAGUAGGGAAUCUUCCGCGAUGGGCGAGAGCCUGACGGACCAACGCGGCGUGAGUGAUGAAGGUCUUCGGAUCGUAAAACUCUGUUAUUAGGGAAGAACAAAUGUGUAAGUAACUGUGCUGAUCUUGACGGUACCUAAUGAAAAAGCCACGGCUAACUACGUG
Molecule: ribosomal RNA, 497 nt
Filed under: uncultured bacterium
Lineage: Bacteria
Description: partial 16S ribosomal RNA
Rfam family: Bacterial small subunit ribosomal RNA
Source: RNAcentral